Long non-coding RNA from Bubalus bubalis (water buffalo), 4555 nucleotides. RefSeq lists it as uncharacterized. NCBI's taxonomy places the organism in Eukaryota, Metazoa, Chordata, Mammalia, Artiodactyla, Bovidae. The transcript has 2 exons. The record is from RefSeq and is a predicted model, not a curated record.
UAGUUGGAGUUUCAAUGUCAAACACUAAAAAUUAAAGAAAUGAAUCGACAGAAAAGUAGAAGGAUAUGGUAGACCUGAAAAACCCAAUUCAACAUAAUUAAGAUUUGCACAAUUUUCCCAGAAUAGUAGAUACAAAUUCUAUUCACGUUCCCAUAGACUAUAAACCAGGAGACACUGGAACAUACCCAGGGACAUAAAACAAGGUGCCAAACUUUCAUGGUCUAAAAGUAUUGAAAUCAUACAGAGUCUGUUCUCUUAUCACUGUGGAAUUAUGUUAGAAAUCAAUAGAAAAAUAUUUGAAAAUAACCCACAUAUUUUCAAGGGAAAUAUGAUAUUUACCAAUACAGAUCUUUGACUUAGCCACUGAAAGCCUCAAUAAAGUUAAAAAGACUGAAAAAAAAAAAAAAACACAGAGGAGGAUUGCAGAGAAGAAAGCAAAAGAUCAUUAAACUUGCAAUUAUCUCCAGGACUGGCCAGCCUUGGGGAGGGAAUGUGUUAAUUUCUUCCUUCCUGUAGUUACCCACAGUUUAACAGGGUCCUGAACAAACGCAUUUUCGUUUAACAUUCAGGCAGAGUGGUGGGGUUUCCUGAGGCAGUGAACAAAAUGUUCACUAAAAGGAACAUAGUGAACAAAAUGUUCCUUUUAGUGAUUAGUGAACAAAAGCAAUGGGAAGCAAAGGUUAAAGUAAAAGAAACAGAUCCAACAUGGAGUAAAAUUUUGUUCCUCUCUGUCAUACCCAUUGAUCAGUUGAAAAAAGUUACUCUUAAAUCAAAUUUUGAUUAAAUUUCUUUCCUUCCUCCUGGGCCCUGUAAAGGAAAGGUACAUUGCUCAAAAUAGCCCGGAAUUAAAACUCCCCUCCAGGUCCUCCCCUCCAUUCUAUGCAAAACGCAAAACACAAAACUCUCUCACCAGAAGAAGAAAAUGGACAUUAAGGGUGAUUACGCCCAGCUCCCAACUGGUCCAGCCUCUGGCUGAUCUCCAGAAUUCCUUGCCCCAGCUGUUUAAGAGAUAACUACUCCAAACAACCUUGGAGAAAAACAGGUCCCCUUAAGACAGUAGCUUUCCACCUAUAUGCCUAUAUAUACUUAGUCUUUUCUUGGGUUAGCAUUAAUCUGACUGCUGCCCCUUCUCGCCUCAUUAAAGGUGAUCUGUUCCUGUAAAGUGCCGGCCUCAUUCUUUUUCCAAACCUCGCCUUCUCUAACUCUCUUACCCUACACUCUGAACUUUGGCCCCAGCCUCACCUGAGCCAGCAGACAGCAUCUCUUGAGAACAGGAAAACUUCUGAGCUGCUGUCUCAUUACAACAUCCUUUCAUCCCUUCCCCCCAAUCCUAGAAAGCUCAAUUCUUUCUAGUAUUCCUAUUGUCAGGCGAGUGUAUGCUCCUCGGUUCUGUCUCACCACAACAAAGAUUUGGAGUGACAGACAUUAGAGCCCUUGGCGUAUCACAGCUCUCGGGUCUUGGACAGACCGUGUUAUAGCUCUCAGGUCUCAAACGGACCGUGUUAUAGCUCUAAGACAAAUCAGUGCUACAGCUCUAUUUUAUUUAGAUAAUAGCAGGAAAAUCCAUCCUGGAGGCGUAAGGGCACGUCAACCCAAAGACACAAAGAGAUCGCCCCGGGGCGCGGGAGACCGCAAUUUUGGACUCCUGUUUCCUAUUUUAACCACCUAACACUAUAAAAGAAAAUUUUUGGAACAAAAAUCUUGAAAUGCUUAUCAGAGUGUUCUCCUGCCCUAUUUCAAUAUCUUCCCUUUCUCCCUUGAAGAAUCCUUCUGAAUAAAGUCUCUUAAGUCUGGGUUUGUUUUCUAUUUGACAGAGUAACGAUCCAUGUGCCUAGCCUGACAUAUAUGGUGUAGGGGAGAAAAAAAUUCUGUACCCUCUUUGGGGUAUUAUUUUUAGUAGUUUUAAUUAUGUAUAUUAAUUUAAAAUCUUAAUUCUUAGAAACCUUAAUUUUUAGUGAAGCAAGAAGCUUCUUCACUAAAAGAAGUGAACUAAGAAGAAAGUAAUUGUUAACUGUUACAUACCAAUCAUUCUGUAGAUCAACAAAUUUGUGAAUAUACUAUUUCAUAUUUCCAGAAGCAUACACUUCUUCAGAGUACAAUUUUUCAUUGUGGCACAAGACAUGUUUACUGAAAGACCUUUAAAAUCUUUGUGUUAGGUAGGUAGAAUAGGGAAAAGGAGUCCAAAAUGGCGGUGGCUAAAAGACAAGGAAGGUCAAAGGAAGGUCCAAGGACCAGAGUGAAGACUUCAGGCAGAACAAACAGCACUCCUGGCUAAGUCCAAUUUGCAUAGGGCAGGCCCAGGUGGAGGAAAAAACAUAUGAAAGGAGGAGCCAAAGCGCUUUCUCAUGGACUCUUUCUCCCGCAUGCGCGCGCUCUUUUCUUUCUCUCUCUCACUCUCAUGCUAUCUUCUAAAUAAAAUAGAGCUGUAACACUGAUUUGCCUAAGAGCUGUAGCAUGGUUUGUCCAAGACCUGAGAGCUGUGACGCGCCGAGGGCUUUAAUGUCCGUUGCUCCAAAUCUUUGUUGUGACAAGACAAAGAACCGAGGAACAUACACUCGUGUGACAUCUAGUUCAAAUAGAAAGUCCAAAGCAGUCUUAUAGGAUCUUAGUUCCCCAACCAGGGAUGGAACCUGUGCCUCCAGCAAUGAAAAUGCCCAAGUCCUAACUACUGGAUCUCCAGGGAAUCCCCACAUUAUCUUAUAUUCAGUUAAGCCAUCAUUUGACUUAACUGAGUAGAACUUAAAAGUUACCAGAAAAGAUUUUGGAAACUAUUUUAAAGUAGACAUAUUUUAUAAAACAUCAUCCUUGUUGAAAACGUUGUAAGUUUCAUCUCCCAUUUAUUUAACUUGCUUGUUGUUAACCAUUAUGCUGAGAUUACUUUAAAAAUUUCAUGAAAUAUUAAAGUCAUCAAAAUUUUUCUUGCUGACAAAUUUUGUAAUAUAUGUGUAUACCAGGCAAACAUCCAAUCCUAUAGUGCUGGGGAAUCUCCCAGGACCUUCUGAAGGUCUGUUUGCAUGUGAAGAGGGAAUGUGCAAGUUUUCUUACUGUUCAGCCUGUAUGUGAGCCUGAGAGUUCUGAGGGCUUUUAGAUCUAAAGAAAGCUCGGGCAAGUCUAGACUUGUCUGGGGGCCCAACCUUUCUGGGUCUAUUUGCAUAACGAUAAUGAACAGUUCUUACAGUACAGAGUUAAUUGCAAGGAAGAAAAGAGCCUUGUAACUGUAAUAUUCUUAUGGGAAACACGCUGACUGAAACCGCUCACCCUGGCCAGUCACCAUAGUAACCAUUUAUUUAUGAGUUAUAUUAGGACAGGAGGUCCUGGUAAGGAACACAGAACUAACAUGUCACCACCUUUCAGGAAAGGUCAAAAGGAGACGCUGCAUGUCCUACCACCUCCCAGAAUCAUCCUCACUGGUUGAUUUUUGGCAUCCGUUUUCAAUGAGCAAUGCCUGAGCCUCCAGGAAGUUCCCUGAGUCAGAAUGAUUGGCCAAAGACAACCUGGAAAUUAACCCAAUUAGCACAAACCCAAGACCGCAAGGCACAGGGCAGAGCAUUUCUCCUGGGUUCCCUCAUCCUGAUGUUCUCCACCCAGGCAUCCCUUCCCAACAGAGUCUCUUGCUGUGUCAGCCCAUGUGUUUCCUCAGACAAUUCAUUUCUGAGUAUUAGACAAGAGCCCCUUUUCAGGACCUGGAACAGGUUUCCCCUUCCUGCAAUAGUAUCAUCUUGUUAUAAGAUGAGAGAAAAGAAAGAGAGUCUGCCUCAGGUACGCCAGGAUGGACUUUUGCUUUCUCUGGGUCUUAUGUGACUCCCAGGGAAACGGAUUGACUAUGAGGAAGAAUUCUCAGAUCAGUUUUUCUGAGAAGGAACAACCUUGUCAACCUCUCUUACAAUGCCUUGUUGGGGAAAAUCUCAAUGUCCGGGAGCUUUAAUUUAAAGCUUCUCCAGUACUGUGCCUAUGGGCAUUUAUUUUCAUGCAUUUUAAAACCCACUACAAUACAUAGAAUUAAGUCUAGGUUGUGACUAUUUCAAAGGAACUAUAAGCAUGAAAGUUAAUGAGCCAAAUCCGAGCCUUUUCCCAUUGGAUCAUGUCAACUGCAAAUUGACACUUACCGUGGGUGCUUGCCAUCUACCUCUACAAGGAUUAAACCGUGUACUGCAGCAGAAGCUGACCUUCAAAAGCUCCUGAAAGGAUUUCAGGGUGGAGAGCAGAAAUGAGUCACUGUGUUUGGGGGAAAAACUGACAGGACAGGUCUUAAGAUAGAUAGUCUCAGGGGCUGGUUUUAUGAGUCCAAUUCUUGUAUCUCUUCAUCUCUAGAAAAGCACUAAAAUCCAUCAUGGUGAUGACUAUUUUUUGUGACUUAAAGAAAGCUUCACGGAGAUCAGCAGAGAGUUCCUGGAAAAAUAUGUGCUUGAUUGCACGUGCUCCCCCUUCACCAAAAUCACAUCUUUACUGACCUUCCUGCCUGCCUCUUUGGAGCAGUCUGUCAGAGCUAUCGGAGGUGCUGUCUCCCGGGCUGCAGUCCUCAUUCUACCUUCCAAUAAAACUUAACUUACAACUC